GGGGGCCAGAGUUUAAACUGGUGGAUCUGAGCUUCUUUAAACCAGAUGGCCAGGUUCUAUCAAUCAAGAGGGACAUAAUCCAGAAAGGGUUCUUCUGAUCAUUGGGUCAGAAGCAUCUGAAUCCUUGUUAUCCGUUGUGCCUCAGCUAUCCUAGAAACUAGAUGCUUAAGAAUAUCAUAAUCCCAGAGUGAUAGAAAGACCUUUCUAGGGAAGAUGAGAUAUCCGGAGACUGGAAAGAAAAAGUCUGAAGGAUUUGACCACAUUAAAAUGAAAAUCUUUGGUUCAGCAAAACACCAGAAAUAAAUUCAAAAGAUAAAAUAUACACCGGAGAAGCCCAUUCUCUCAACACAUCUGUCAGUUCACAAAGAGCAGCUACAGUCCAACUUGAAAAAUGAACAAAGUGGUAGGAAAAUGGGCAGCGUUCACCAGGAGGAAAUAAGAAACAGGAAUGCCUAAUUAUGUGGCAAAAAUCUGCCCUAUCUUAAUAAAGAGAGAAGAUAAAAGCUUAGUAAAGAUUAACUUCUACUGAAGAUUAAAAUGACACUUCUGCCAUAAAUAAAAACAUUGUUGGCAA
Molecule: long non-coding RNA, 574 nt
Organism: Lutra lutra (Eurasian river otter)
Lineage: Eukaryota; Metazoa; Chordata; Mammalia; Carnivora; Mustelidae
Exons: 2
Source: RefSeq, a predicted model, not a curated record